CCUACGGGAGGCAGCAGUGGGGAAUAUUGGGCAAUGGGCGCAAGCCUGAACCAGCCAAGUCGCGUGAGGGAGUACUGCCCUAUGGGUUUUAAACCUCUUUUGUCGUGGAGCAAAAGCCGGACCUGUCCGGCUGUGAGAGUUCCCGAAAAAAAAGCAUCGGCUAACUCCGUUCCAGCAGCCGCGGUAAUACGGAGGAUGCGUGCGUUAUUCGGAUUUAUUGGGUUUAAAGGGUGCGCAGGCGGAUGUUUAAGUCAGCGGUAAAAACGUGGGGCUCAACCCCAUCCCGCCGUUGAAACUGGGGAUCUAGAGUGUGCGAGAGGUAUGCGGAAUGCGUGGUGUAGCGGUGAAAUGCAUAGAUAUCACGCAGAACCCCGAUUGCGAAGGCAGCAUACCGGUGCGCAACUGACGCUCAGGCACGAAAGCGUGGGUAUCGAACAGGAUUAGAUACCCUAGUAGUC
This 458-nucleotide ribosomal RNA is filed under the name uncultured bacterium. Its description in RNAcentral is "partial 16S ribosomal RNA". It matches the Rfam family "Bacterial small subunit ribosomal RNA", at positions 338 to 795 of the family's 1533-position model. The record is from RNAcentral.